RNAcentral lists this ribosomal RNA (440 nucleotides) under uncultured bacterium. RNAcentral describes it as "partial 16S ribosomal RNA". It matches the Rfam family "Bacterial small subunit ribosomal RNA", at positions 338 to 795 of the family's 1533-position model. The record is from RNAcentral.
CCUACGGGUGGCAGCAGUGGGGAAUAUUGCACAAUGGGGGAAACCCUGAUGCAGCGACGCCGCGUGAGCGAUGAAGUAUCUCGGUAUGUAAAGCCCUAUCAGCAGGGAAGAAAAUGACGGUACCUGACUAAGAAGCCCCGGCUUACUACGUCCCAGCAGCCGCGGUAAUACGUAGGGGGCAAGCGUUAUCCGGAUGUACUGGGUGUAAAGGGAGCGUAGACGGCUGUGCAAGCCAGAUGUGAAAGCCCGGGGCUCAACCCAGGGACUGCAGUUGAAACUGUGUGGCUGGAGUGUCGGAGAGGCAGGCGGAAUUCGUGGUGUAGCGGUGAAAUGCGUAGAUAUUAGGAGGAACACCAGUGGCGAAGGCGGCCUGCUGGACGAUGACUGACGUUGAGGCUCGAAAGCGUGGGGAGCAAACAGGAUUAGAUACCCUUGUAGUC